GGAGCAGGCUGCGGGGUCGCUCGGAGGGUUUAGUCCUCCGAGAGGAAAGUCCGGGCUCCACAGGGCAGGGAGCUGGCGUUAAGCCAGGUGAGGGUAACCUCACGGAUAGGGCCACAGAAAACAUACCGCCACCUAUAAGGUGGUAAGGGUGAAAAGGUGGUGUAAGAGACCACCGCUCUUUCCCGUGAGGGAAAGAGGCACGGUAACCCCCUCCCGGAGCAAGGCUAAAUAGGCUGGCGUUUGAGGGUUGCCCGUCCGAAGCCAGCGGGUAAGCCGCAUAAGAUAAAUGACCCCUUUAAACAGAACCCGGCUUACACGCCUGCUCCAUAA
Molecule: RNase P RNA, 330 nt
Filed under: Desulfurobacterium thermolithotrophum DSM 11699
Lineage: Bacteria; Pseudomonadati; Aquificota; Aquificia; Desulfurobacteriales; Desulfurobacteriaceae
Description: Bacterial RNase P class A
Rfam family: Bacterial RNase P class A
About the family: Ribonuclease P (RNase P) is a ubiquitous endoribonuclease, found in archaea, bacteria and eukarya as well as chloroplasts and mitochondria.
Source: Rfam by way of RNAcentral